AGAGGAUGAUCAUGGCUCAGAUUGAACGCUGGCGGCAGGCCUAACACAUGCAAGUCGGGCGAGAAAGCACUUCGGUGUGAGUAGAGAAGCACUUCGGGGUGAGUAGAGCGGCGGACGGGUGAGUAACGCGUAGGAAUUUGCCCAGUAGUGGGGGACAACAUGUGGAAACGCAUGCUAAUACCGCAUACGCCCUACGGGGGAAAGCAGGGGAUCUUCGGACCUUGCGCUAUUGGAGAAGCCUGCGUCGGAUUAGCUAGUUGGUGGGGUAAAGGCCUACCAAGGCGACGAUCCGUAGAAGGUCUGAGAGGAUGAUCCGCAACACUGGGAAUGAAACCAGGACAAGCCUACUAAAGGCGGCAGCAGUGCGGAAUAUUGGACAAUGGGCGAAAGAACCAUGAUCCCAUGCCGCGUGUGUGAAGAAGGCCUUAGGGUUGUAAAGGACUUUCAGUAGGGAGGAAAGGUUAGUCGUUCGUAACGGCUAAUCGUGACGUUACCUACAUAAGAAGCACCGGCUAAUUCAGUGCCAGCAGCCGCGGUAAUACUGAAGGUGCAAGCGUUAAUCGGAAUUACUGGGCGUAAAGCGCGCGUAGGCGGUUUGGUCAGUCAGAUGUGAAAGCCCCGGGCUUAACCUGGGAACUGCAUUUGAUACUGCCAAACUAGAGUAUGUUAGAGGGAAGUGGAAUUUCUGGUGUAGCGGUGAAAUGCGUAGAUAUCAGAAGGAACAUCAAUGGCGAAGGCAACUUCCUGGGACAAUACUGACACUGAGGUGCGAAAGCGUGGGGAGCAAACAGGAUUAGAUACCCUGGUAGUCCACGCCGUAAACGAUGUCUACUAGCCGUUGGGAGACUUGAUCUCUUAGUGGCGCAGCUAACGCAAUAAGUAGACCGCCUGGGGAGUACGGCCGCAAGGUUAAAACUCAAAUGAAUUGACGGGGGCCCGCACAAGCGGUGGAGCAUGUGGUUUAAUUCGAUGCAACGCGAAGAACCUUACCUGGUCUUGACAUCCUACGAACUUUCCAGAGAUGGAUUGGUGCCUUCGGGAACGUAGUGACAGGUGCUGCAUGGCUGUCGUCAGCUCGUGUUGUGAAAUGUUGGGUUAAGUCCCGUAACGAGCGCAACCCUUAUCCUUAUUUGCCAGCACGUAAUGGUGGGAACUCUAAACACACCCGGUGACAAACCGGAGGAAGGUGGGGACGAAGUCAAGUCAUCAUGGCACUUACGACCAGGGAUAAACAAGUGCUACAAUCGACAGUACAGAGGGUUGCCAAGCCGCGAGGUGGAGCUAAUCCCAGAAAACCGUUCGUAGUCCGGAUUGGAGUCUGCAACUCGACUCCAUGAAGUCGGAAUCGCUAGUAAUCGUGAAUCAGAAUGCUACGGUGAAUACGUUCCCGGGCCUUGUACACACCGCCCGUCACACCAUGGGAGUGGAUUGCACCGUGGGGCAAAAUGUUAACCUUCGGGAAGCAUUUGACCACGGUAUAGUCAGCGACUGGGGUGAAGUCGUAACAAGGUAACC
This 1515-nucleotide ribosomal RNA is filed under the name uncultured prokaryote. RNAcentral's name for it is "partial 16S ribosomal RNA". It matches the Rfam family "Bacterial small subunit ribosomal RNA". The record is from RNAcentral.